GCGGGAGUGGCGAAAUUGGUAGACGCACCAGAUUUAGGUUCUGGCGCCGCAAGGUGUGCGAGUUCAAGUUUCGCCCCCCGCACCA
Molecule: transfer RNA, 85 nt
Filed under: Escherichia coli
Lineage: Bacteria; Pseudomonadati; Pseudomonadota; Gammaproteobacteria; Enterobacterales; Enterobacteriaceae
Description: tRNA-Leu
Rfam family: tRNA
About the family: Transfer RNA (tRNA) molecules are approximately 80 nucleotides in length. Their secondary structure includes four short double-helical elements and three loops (D, anti-codon, and T loops).
Source: RNAcentral